GUGCUCGCUUGUGUAGUACGUAUACAAAAAUUGGAAUAAUACAGAGAAGAUUAGCAUGGCUGCUGUGAAGAAUGACACUCAAAUGUACUUUCAUGCCAUUCUA
Molecule: small nuclear RNA, 103 nt
Organism: Meriones unguiculatus (Mongolian gerbil)
Lineage: Eukaryota; Metazoa; Chordata; Mammalia; Rodentia; Muridae
Source: Ensembl